UAAAUAUACGACGUUAGUACGUGGGAAAACUCAAAUUUAAGAAUUAUUGUUCGAACGAAAUUUAAUAAACUGCUGGUACUUACUCAUAUAUUCUAUGCUUUUAUAGUCAUAUUUUCGAAUUUUGCUCAAGUCAAGCUCGACCACAAGUUUUAUGCGUUUAUUGACCGAGUAUAAUGCAUGUUAUAUUUCUGAAUCGUUUUACAUUUGAACUUCGCAUAGAGUGCAAGUUUUAAAACAUGUAUCGCCAAAUGUUAUUUUUUUUUAUAUAAAACUCUAUAUAUGAAUUUUUAUUAUUAUUAUUAUUUAUAUUUUACACAUGACAAUGUGAGGCAUUUAUCAAUUUAAUGUAAUAAUUUUAUGUUUAUGAUUUGUAGUCUUGUUGCGUAUCUUUAAUUGCCAACCAUCAGUGAGAGAAGAUUGUUCCUCUAAGCUUCCCAACAUGAACCCCUAUUUGUUUAUUCAAAGUCAUAUGGAUCCCAAAAUGUUUAUUGGAAAUACACAAGUUAAAUCACAUGAUGUCUUAAUAGAACUAUUCAUUUUUAGUGUAAUCAGUAGUAUUAAUAUAUUCAAAUGGACUGGCGGAAAGCUAUGCCUGUGGUCCUUGCUUAUCGAGUUUACGCUUUUCAUUUUGUUUGGUUCUGGUACUAAUUUGCAUAUUCAUUUUGAUUCAAAGUUUGAAUGUUUAAAGAUCAAAGCACUUCAAUUAAUGUAGCCAAGAUAGGUUUAUUCAAAUAUUUUUCGUUUCAUUUCAGAACUCUUAGUCACCUCACAUAGAUUGGGGCAGUUUUGUCACCCUACUGCCCGCUGGUUUCCUAGUACUCGGAGAAAAAAAGUGUUGUAAAAUAAAUUCAAGUUUUAAUUUUCUAACAAAAAUUAUCGAUAAAAAACUAACAGAAGUUACAUUGAGAACCUUGUGUCUGCUUGUUAUCCGCAAGCAUCGAGAUCCAAUUGACCCCUAAUCCAACUUUCGGUGAUCUUUCGUUAUUUUGUUUAUCCAACAACUUAUGAAAAAUGAAACAACUUUAAAAACUUGUACUGAUUUAUAAUUAUCUCUUUAUCUUUAAAUUCCGUGCAAUUUUGCUGUAGGGUAGUUCUCUAGGCCCUGCUCUAAGUUGUUAAUCAUAACUAUGUAACUUGUGUUUUUUUUUUGUCGACCUUGUUCACUUCAAUAACAUUAAUGUAAUAAUAUUGAAUUUAAUGACAUUUCAGUAUUGAUCGUGUAUUAAUACAUUAUUUUUCACUGAUGAUUAAACAACAUAUUAUAUUUAUUGUAAUUUUUUAUUUUUAGAGUAUUUUACAUUUGGUAUUGUGUUUUACAAACUUAAAUUUUUUAAUUUUUUAGAAACAUGUAAUUACUUAGUUUUAUCAAUAUCAGGCGUAAAUCAUAAUAAUUAGUUACGUACGUUUGAGUGCUUAACAUAAUAUUAUCUUAUUCUUUAAUACUUAUUGGUAUUGCAAUCCUUCCUGUGGCCCAGUGUUUUCCAAAUUUGUUUGCCCGUCGUCCCAAAAUCCUCACCCGAAUGUAAGAUAUUUGUAACUAAUGCUUGUUCGAACCUAUAUUUUAGAUUUAAUUUUAAUUCAAACCGUAUUGCUACUGCCAAUUUUAGACGUAGUUCUUCAAUUAAGAUAUGGGCUGUCCAUCUUCAAAGUGUUUGCGAGAAGAUGAAAAUGAUGUCGAGGAAGUGAUUGAGGUGAGUAAGAUGGUGGAUGAUGAUUUGAAAGAGUUGGUAGAGGAAAAGAUUCAAGAUCACGACAUUGCGAUUGAUAUGGAGAAGAUAAAGGAAAUGAUUGAAAAGGUGAAGAUAGAUGUAUUAGAAGACGAAGACAACAACUCGGAACAGGAUACAAAAGAAAUGCUAAAAAUGCACUGCAGAGAAUCUAACGAAUUUAUGCAAACAUAAUACGUUUCACUAUUUUCUAUGUGUUAUGACGACGAAGACGCAAAGAAGAUUGGAAUCAGUUGGUCAGAUGUGAUUCAGCAACAGUCGUGGAAAAUCAACGCAGGACGUUUGUUUACUGAAACAUCUGUUUUUGAUUCAGAAGAGUUCACGCCCACAAUUCACGAUCUAUUAUGAGAAGAACAUUUUGAAUGGAAAUAUAUUUUACGUGGAGAAAGAGAAGAGAAUCGAUGCAAUAAGAAGAAGGACCAUACACGAGUGAAGAGGGCGAGGGCGAAUUCAACAAUAUCAACGAAGAUCUUACAUCGACGAUGACUUGAGCAACGAAUAUUACUUUCAAAUUUUAGUUAUCAACAAUGUUUUAUUCAUUUUUAUUGAUCUGUACCAGAGGUAAAAAUAAAACAAAUGAAAAGUUUUAAAAAAAGCGAAAUUCGAUAUAUUAUUAAUGUAGUUGUUUGCGACUAACAAGAUGUUGAAUAAGAGGUUUUGUGGUGAAUAGUGCACAUCGUAAAUCACCAAGGAGAAUACAGAUACAAUCACAACAGCUCUAUGCAAUCUCUGACGUCUGAACAAUAAAGAAUUAAAUUUUAACCCGAUGUUCUGGAAAUUUAACGCUACAUUCAUAGGAUGAAAGCUAGUUUAAACGUAAAUAGUCUUUUUGUAUCAGAAAACUUCACUUAUAAACUGGUUUUAGACUGGUCAAAAAUUUAGUAUUGGACAAAUAGGUUAUCUAUCAGGGAAGACAAACCCAUAUAUUAUAUCGUUUUAGGAACAUUUAGAAUGCUCUUUCACCCACAUCUUUUAUUGUGUUCAAUUACAAGUUCUAUCAAUUAUUCCAAUUACUGUCUGUUUGUAAAGUGGUUUUUCAAAUAA
Styela clava is the source of this 2771-nucleotide non-coding RNA. The record is from RefSeq and is a predicted model, not a curated record. Lineage: Eukaryota; Metazoa; Chordata; Ascidiacea; Stolidobranchia; Styelidae.